Molecule: ribosomal RNA, 429 nt
Filed under: Gemmatimonadota bacterium
Lineage: Bacteria; Pseudomonadati; Gemmatimonadota
Description: Gemmatimonadetes bacterium partial 16S ribosomal RNA
Rfam family: Bacterial small subunit ribosomal RNA
Source: RNAcentral
UAGGGAAUCUUCGGCAAUGGACGAAAGUCUGACCGAGCAACGCCGCGUGAGUGAAGAAGGUUUUCGGAUCGUAAAACUCUGUUGUUAGAGAAGAACAAGGACGUUAGUAACUGAACGUCCCCUGACGGUAUCUAACCAGAAAGCCACGGCUAACUACGUGCCAGCAGCCGCGGUAAUACGUAGGUGGCAAGCGUUGUCCGGAUUUAUUGGGCGUAAAGCGAGCGCAGGCGGUUUCUUAAGUCUGAUGUGAAAGCCCCCGGCUCAACCGGGGAGGGUCAUUGGAAACUGGGAGACUUGAGUGCAGAAGAGGAGAGUGGAAUUCCAGGUGUAGCGGUGAAAUUCGUAGAUAUAUGGAGGAACACCAGUGGCGAAGGCGGCUCUCUGGUCUGUAACUGACGCUGAGGCUCGAAAGCGUGGGGAGCAAACAGG